GUCUCUGUAUCGCUGACAAAGUGUGCUGUCUCUGUAUCACUGGCAGAGGGUGAUGUCUCUGUAUCGCUGACAAAGUGUGCUGUCUCUGUAUCACUGGCAGAGGGUGCUGUCUCUGUAUCGCUGACAAAGUGUGCUGUCUCUGUAUCGCUGGCAGAGGGUUCUGUCUCUGUAUUGCUUGAAGGGUGUGCUUUCAUUGUAUUGCUUGCAGAGUGUGCUGUCUCUGUAUUAAUGCCAGAGUGUACUGUCUCUGUAUUGCUUGUAGGGUGUGCUGUCUCUGUAUCACCUGCAGAUAACACUGCCUCUGUAUUGGUAGCAGAGGGUGCUGUCUCUGAAUUGCUGACAUAGUGUGCUGUCUCUGUAUCACAGGAAGAGGGUGCUGUCUCUAUAUUGCUGGCAGAGUGUGCUGUCUCUGUAUUGCUGGCAGAAUGUGCUGUCUCUGUAUCACUUGCAAAAUAAGACAUCUCUGUAUUGCUGGCAGAGUGUGCUGUUUCAUUAUCACUUGCAGAAUGCGCUCUCUCUGUAUUGUUGGCAGAGUGUGCUGUCUCUGUAUUGCUGACAGAUUGUGCUGUCUCUUUAUCACUGGCAGAGGGUGCUAUCUCAGUAUCACUGGCAGAAGGUUCUGUCUCUGUGUCACUGGCAGAGGGUUCUGUCUCUGUGUCACUGGCAGAUAGUGCUGUCUCUGUAUCGCUGGCAGAGGGUGAUGUCUCUGUAUCGCUGACAAAGUGUGCUGUCUCUGUAUCACUGGCAGAGGGUGAUGUCUCUGUAUCGCUGACAAAGUGUGCUGUCUCUGUAUCACUGGCAGAGGGUGCUGUCUCUGUAUCGCUGACAAAGUGUGCUGUCUCUGUAUCGCUGGCAGAGGGUUCUGUCUCUGUAUUGCUUGUAGGGUGUGCUUUCAUUGUAUUGCUUGCAGAGUGUGCUGUCUCUGUAUUAAUGCCAGAGUGUACUGUCUCUGUAUUGCUUGUAGGGUGUGCUGUCUCUGUAUCACCUGCAGAUAACACUGCCUCUGUAUUGGUAGCAGAGGGUGCUGUCUCUGAAUUGCUGACAUAGUGUGCUGUCUCUGUAUCACAGGAAGAGGGUGCUGUCUCUAUAUUGCUGGCAGAGUGUGCUGUCUCUGUAUUGCUGGCAGAAUGUGCUGUCUCUGUAUCACUUGCAAAAUAAGACAUCUCUGUAUUGCUGGCAGAGUGUGCUGUUUCAUUAUCACUUGCAGAAUGCGCUCUCUCUGUAUCACUUCCAGUGUGUGCUGUCUCUGUGUUGCUAUCAGAGUGUGCUUUCUCUGUACAACCUGCAUAGUGUGCUGUCUCUGUGUUGCUAUCAGAGUGUGCUGUCUCUGUACAACCUGCAUAGUGUGCUGUCUCUGUCUUGCUUGUAGAGUGUGCUGUCUCUGUUCUAAUAGCAGAGUGUGCUGUCUCUGUAUUACGUGCAGGAUGUUCUGUCUCUGUAUCACCUGCAGAGUGUGCUGUCUCUGUAUUGCUGGCAGAGUGCGCUGUCUCUGUUUUAAAGGCAGAGUGUGCUGUCUCUGUAUCUCCUACAGAGUGUGCUGUAUCUUUAUUGCUGACAGAGUGUCCUGUCUCUGUACUGCUUGCAGAGUGUGCUGUCUCUGUAUUACUUCCAGAGAGUGCUGUCACUGUAUCGCCGGCAGAGUGUGCUGUCUCUGUAUCACUUGCAGAAUGAGAUGUCUCUGUAUUGCUAGCAGAGGGUGCUGUCUCUGUAUCACCUGCAGAGUGUGCUGUCUCUGUAUAGCUAGCAGAGUGUGCUGUCUCUGUAUUGCUGACAGAAUGGGCUGUCUCUGUAUUGUUGGCAGAGUUUGCUGUCUCUGUAUUGCAGACAGAGUGUGCUGUCUGUGUAUUCCUUGCAGAUAGCGCUGUCUCUGUAUUGUUGGCAGAGUGUGCUGUCUCUGUAUAGCUAGCAGAGUGUACUCUCUCUGUAUUGCUGGCAGAAUGGGCUGUCUCUGUAUUGUUGGCAGAGUUUGCUGUCUCUGCAUUGUUGGCAGAGUGUGCUGUCUCUGUAUAGCUAGCAGAGUGUGCUAUCUCUGUAUUGCUGGCAGAAUGGGCUGUCUCUGUAUCACUUGCAGAGUGUGCUGUCUCUGUAUUGCUGUCAGAGUGUGCUGUCUCUGUAUAACUUGCAUAGUGUGUUGUCUCUGUCUUGCUUGUAGAGUGUGCUGUUUCUGUUUUAAUGGCAGAAUGUGUUGUCGCUGUAUUACUUGCAGUAUGUUCUGUCUCUGUGUCACCAGCAGAUUUUGCUGUCUCUGUAUUACUGGCAGAGUGCGCUGUCUCUGUUUUAAAGGCAGAGUGUGCUGUAUCUGUAUCUCCUUCACAGUGUCCUGUAUCUUUAUUGCUGGCAGAGUGUCCUGUCUUUGUAUUGCUUGCAGAGUGUGCUGUCUCUGUAUUGCUUGCAGAGUGUCCUGUCUCUGUAUUGCUUGCAGAGAGUGCCAUCUCUGUAUUGCUUGCAGAGAGUGCUGUCUCUGUAUUGCUUGCAGAGUGUGCUGUCUCUGUAUUGCUUGCAGAGUGUCCUGUCUCUGUAUUGCUUGCAGAGAGUGCCAUCUCUGUAUUGCUUGCAGAGAGUGCUGUCUCUGUAUUGCUUGCAGAGUGUGCUGUCUCUGUAUUGCUUGCAGAGUGUCCUGUCUCUGUAUUGCUUGCAGAGAGUGCCAUCUCUGUAUUGCUUGCAGAGAGUGCUGUCUCUGUAUUGCUUGCAGAGUGUGCUGUCUCUGUAUU
RNAcentral lists this long non-coding RNA (2711 nucleotides) under Pelobates cultripes (western spadefoot toad). The record is from RNAcentral. Lineage: Eukaryota; Metazoa; Chordata; Amphibia; Anura; Pelobatidae.